AAAAGAUUUAGUUAAUUAAUAACAUAAAAAUGUCAAAUUUAAAUUAGAUUUUGUCUAAUCUUUU
RNAcentral lists this transfer RNA (64 nucleotides) under Onychiurus orientalis. RNAcentral describes it as "tRNA-Asp". The record is from RNAcentral. Lineage: Eukaryota; Metazoa; Arthropoda; Collembola; Poduromorpha; Onychiuridae.